RNAcentral lists this ribosomal RNA (454 nucleotides) under uncultured organism. Its description in RNAcentral is "partial 16S ribosomal RNA". It matches the Rfam family "Bacterial small subunit ribosomal RNA", at positions 330 to 800 of the family's 1533-position model. The record is from RNAcentral.
CGUACACUCCUGCGGGAGGCAGCAGUGGGGAAUAUUGGACAAUGGGCGCAAGCCUGAUCCAGCCAUGCCGCGUGAGUGAUGAAGGCCCUAGGGUUGUAAAGCUCUUUCACCGGUGAAGAUAAUGACGGUAACCGGAGAAGAAGCCCCGGCUAACUUCGUGCCAGCAGCCGCGGUAAUACGAAGGGGGCUAGCGUUGUUCGGAUUUACUGGGCGUAAAGCGCACGUAGGCGGACUAUUAAGUCAGGGGUGAAAUCCCGGGGCUCAACCCCGGAACUGCCUUUGAUACUGGUAGUCUUGAGUUCGAGAGAGGUGAGUGGAAUUCCGAGUGUAGAGGUGAAAUUCGUAGAUAUUCGGAGGAACACCAGUGGCGAAGGCGGCUCACUGGCUCGAUACUGACGCUGAGGUGCGAAAGCGUGGGGAGCAAACAGGAUUAGAUACCCUAGUAGUCCCAUGA